GACGAACGCUGGCGGCGUGCUUAACACAUGCAAGUCGAGCGGUAAGGCCCUUUCGGGGGUACACGAGCGGCGAACGGGUGAGUAACACGUGGGUGACCUGCCCUCAGCUCUGGGAUAAGCCUGGGAAACUGGGUCUAAUACUGGAUAUGACUCCACGGUGCAUGUCGUGGGGUGGAAAGCCUUGCGCGGCUGAGGAUGGGCCCGCGGCCUAUCAGCUUGUUGGUGGGGUGAUGGCCUACCAAGGCGACGACGGGUAGCCGGCCUGAGAGGGCGACCGGCCACACUGGGGCUGAGACACGGCCCAGACUCCUACGGGAGGCAGCAGUGGGGAAUCUUGCGCAAUGGGCGAAAGCCUGACGCAGCGACGCCGCGUGAGGGAUGACGGCCU
RNAcentral lists this ribosomal RNA (388 nucleotides) under uncultured bacterium. RNAcentral describes it as "bacterial SSU rRNA". It matches the Rfam family "Bacterial small subunit ribosomal RNA", at positions 28 to 417 of the family's 1533-position model. The record is from RNAcentral.